RNAcentral lists this ribosomal RNA (470 nucleotides) under uncultured bacterium. RNAcentral describes it as "partial 16S ribosomal RNA". It matches the Rfam family "Bacterial small subunit ribosomal RNA", at positions 28 to 507 of the family's 1533-position model. The record is from RNAcentral.
GACGAACGCUGGCGGCGUGCUUAACACAUGCAAGUCGAACGGUGAACGAGGGAGCUUGCUCCCUCCGGAUCAGUGGCGAACGGGUGAGUAACACGUGAGCAAUCUGCCCCGAACUCUGGGAUAAGCGUUGGAAACGACGUCUAAUACCGGAUACGACGCGGGAGGGCAUCCUCUCCGCGUGGAAAGAACUUCGGUUCGGGAUGAGCUCGCGGCCUCUCAGCUUGUUGGUGAGGUAACGGCUCACCAAGGCGACGACGGGUAGCCGGCCUGAGAGGGUGACCGGCCACACUGGGACUGAGACACGGCCCAGACUCCUACGGGAGGCAGCAGUGGGGAAUAUUGCACAAUGGGCGCAAGCCUGAUGCAGCAACGCCGCGUGAGGGACGACGGCCUUCGGGUUGUAAACCUCUUUUAGCAGGGAAGAAGCGAAAGUGACGGUACCUGCAGAAAAAGCACCGGCUAACUACGUG